AGCUUUAUAGUGGAAAAUUAAGAUAUUAGAUUGCAAAUCUGAAGAUGUAAAAUAUUACUAAAGCUU
This 66-nucleotide transfer RNA is filed under the name Grimothea gregaria. RNAcentral describes it as "Munida gregaria tRNA-Cys". It matches the Rfam family "tRNA". From Rfam's summary of the family: Transfer RNA (tRNA) molecules are approximately 80 nucleotides in length. Their secondary structure includes four short double-helical elements and three loops (D, anti-codon, and T loops). Further hydrogen bonds mediate the characteristic L-shaped molecular structure. tRNAs have two regions of fundamental functional importance: the anti-codon, which is responsible for specific mRNA codon recognition, and the 3' end, to which the tRNAs corresponding amino acid is attached (by aminoacyl-tRNA synthetases). tRNAs cope with the degeneracy of the genetic code in two manners: having more than one tRNA (with a specific anti-codon) for a particular amino acid; and 'wobble' base-pairing, i.e. permitting non-standard base-pairing at the 3rd anti-codon position. Lineage: Eukaryota; Metazoa; Arthropoda; Malacostraca; Decapoda; Munididae. The record is from RNAcentral.